Molecule: transfer RNA, 72 nt
Filed under: Candidatus Anderseniibacteriota bacterium
Lineage: Bacteria; Candidatus Anderseniibacteriota
Description: tRNA-Val
Rfam family: tRNA
About the family: Transfer RNA (tRNA) molecules are approximately 80 nucleotides in length.
Source: RNAcentral
GGGCGGUUAGCUCAGCGGUAGAGCAAUGCGUUUACAUCGCAGAGGCCGGGGGUUCAAAUCCCUCACCGCCCA